Molecule: ribosomal RNA, 385 nt
Filed under: uncultured bacterium
Lineage: Bacteria
Description: bacterial SSU rRNA
Rfam family: Bacterial small subunit ribosomal RNA
Source: RNAcentral
GAUGAACGCUGGCGGUAUGCUUUAUACAUGCAAGUCGUACGAGAGUUUUUAACUCAAGUGGCGGACGGGUGAGUAACACGUAAGAAUUUGCCUUUAGGAGGGGGGAUAACAACUGGAAACGGUUGCUAAUACCCCAUAUGCUUUCGAGUGAAAUGGAUUUCCGCCUAAAGAGAAGCUUGCGUCUGAUUAGCUUGUUGGUAAGGUAAUGGCUUACCAAGGCGACGAUCAGUAUCUGGUUUGAGAGGACGAUCAGACACACUGGAACUGAGACACGGUCCAGACUCCUACGGGAGGCAGCAGUAGGGAAUUUUCCGCAAUGGGCGAAAGCCUGACGGAGCAAUACCGCGUGAGGGAUGAAUGCCUAUGGGUUGUAAACCUCUUUUUC